GCGACAGUAGGAUGGUCGUGCCACCGGUACGUACUGGUCUCACUGAUUCCUCCUUCCUGAAGAACCGUAAUGCCAUUAAUUUGGUGUUGCGGGGAAACAGGACUGUUACUUUGAAAAAAUUAGAGUGUUUAAAGCAAGCUAACGCUAGAAUACAUUAGCAUGGAAUAAUGAAAUAGGACGAUCGAUCCUAUUUUGUUGGUUUCUAGGAUUGACGUA
RNAcentral lists this ribosomal RNA (216 nucleotides) under Glomeromycotina sp. RNAcentral describes it as "partial small subunit ribosomal RNA". The stretch from base 40 to 216 matches the Rfam family "Eukaryotic small subunit ribosomal RNA", at positions 686 to 864 of the family's 1831-position model. The record is from RNAcentral. Lineage: Eukaryota; Fungi; Glomeromycota.